AGGCGUCGAGUGGCGGACGGGUGAGUAACGCGUAGGAAUCUGCCAGAUAGUGGGGGAUAGCCCGGAGAAAUCCGGAUUAAUACCGCAUAAUCUCCAUGGAGUAAAGAGGGCCUCUAUUUAUAAGCUUUCGCUAUCUGAUGAGCCUGCGUAAGAUUAGCUAGUUGGUGGGGUAAUGGCCUACCAAGGCGACGAUCUUUAGCUGGUCUGAGAGGAUGAUCAGCCACACUGGGACUGAGACACGGCCCAGACUCCUACGGGAGGCAGCAGUGGGGAAUAUUGGACAAUGGGGGCAACCCUGAUCCAGCAAUACCGCGUGUGUGAAGAAGGCCUGAGGGUUGUAAAGCACUUUCAAUUGUGAAGAAAAGUUAAUAGUUAAUACCUAUUAGCCUUGACGUUAACUUUAGAAGAAGCACCGGCUAACUCCGUGCCAGCAGCCGCGGUAAUACGGAGGGUGCAAGCGUUAAUCGGAAUUACUGGGCGUAAAGCGUGCGUAGGCGGUUGACUAAGUCAGAUGUGAAAGCCCCGGGCUUAACCUGGGAACUGCAUUUGAAACUGGUCAACUAGAGUAUGGUAGAGGAAAGUGGAAUUUCUGGUGUAGCGGUGAAAUGCGUAGAUAUCAGAAGGAACAUCGAUGGCGAAGGCAGCUUUCUGGACCAAUCCUGACGCUGAGGUACGAAAAGCGU
This 683-nucleotide ribosomal RNA is filed under the name uncultured bacterium. RNAcentral describes it as "bacterial SSU rRNA". It matches the Rfam family "Bacterial small subunit ribosomal RNA", at positions 86 to 762 of the family's 1533-position model. The record is from RNAcentral.